This 658-nucleotide ribosomal RNA is filed under the name Paratrophurus striatus. Its description in RNAcentral is "eukaryotic LSU rRNA". It matches the Rfam family "Eukaryotic large subunit ribosomal RNA", at positions 367 to 858 of the family's 3401-position model. Lineage: Eukaryota; Metazoa; Nematoda; Chromadorea; Rhabditida; Telotylenchidae. The record is from RNAcentral.
CAAAGCACUUUGAAGAGAGAGUUAAAGAGGACGUGAAACCGGUGAGAUGGAAACGGAUAGAGCCAGCGUAUCUGGCCUGCAUUCAACUGUUAGUCUCGUGUCGGCUGGGACGCUGCCUCCAGAUUGGGGUAGUUCCCUGUUCGGUGCGGGGCGGAUAGUGCAUUUGCAGGUGGAGUGCGCCGAGACGCUCGGAGCAGCUGCAUGAGCUCAGCCUUGAGGCCAGCCCGCAAGGGUCUGGUACCCGGACUGGGGGAGUGCUGUUUGUCCUGGGUGUGCUUGUCUGAUGGCAUGGCUUACGAGCUGGGAUGGGCGCCGAGCUGGCAGCUGGUUACGGUCGCAUGCGACACGUGCUAGUGGCUAGUUCGGUCCUGUUCUAGCUCACAUGUCAGCUCUCGGUGUAAAAGCUGGUCAUCUAUCCGACCCGUCUUGAAACACGGACCAAGGAGUUUAUCGUGUACGCAAGUCAUUGGGCGUUCAAAACCCAAAGGCGCAAUGAAAGUAAAGGUUUCCGCAAGGAGCUGACGUGCGAUCCUGUUUGCCUCGGCAUGCCAGGCGCAGCAUGGCCCCAUCCCGACUGCUUGCAGUGGGGUGGAGGUAGAGCGUAUGCGGUGAGACCCGAAAGAUGGUGAACUAUUCCUGAGCAGGAUGAAGCCAGAGG